AGUGAACGCUGGCGGUAGGCCUAACACAUGCAAGUCGAACGGCAGCACAGUAAGAGCUUGCUCUUACGGGUGGCGAGUGGCGGACGGGUGAGGAAUACAUCGGAAUCUACUUUUUCGUGGGGGAUAACGUAGGGAAACUUACGCUAAUACCGCAUACGCCCUACGGGUGAAAGCAGGGGAUCUUCGGACCUUGCGCGAUUGAAUGAGCCGAUGUCGGAUUAGUUAGUUGGCGGGGUAAAGGCCCACCAAGGCGACGAUCCGUAGCUGGUCUGAGAGGAGGAUAAGCCACACUGGAACUGGGACACGGUCCAGACUCCUACGGGAGGCAGCAGUGGGGAAUAUUGGGCAAUGGGCGCAAGCCUGAUCCAGCCAGACCGCGUGUGUGAAGAAGGCCUUCGGGUUGUAAAGCCCUUUUGUUGGGAAAGAAAAGCAGCAGGUUAAUACCCCGCUGUUCUGACGGUACCCAAAGAAUAAGCACCGGCUAACUUCGUG
This 492-nucleotide ribosomal RNA is filed under the name uncultured bacterium. Its description in RNAcentral is "partial 16S ribosomal RNA". It matches the Rfam family "Bacterial small subunit ribosomal RNA", at positions 29 to 507 of the family's 1533-position model. The record is from RNAcentral.